RNAcentral lists this ribosomal RNA (492 nucleotides) under uncultured bacterium. RNAcentral describes it as "partial 16S ribosomal RNA". It matches the Rfam family "Bacterial small subunit ribosomal RNA", at positions 29 to 507 of the family's 1533-position model. The record is from RNAcentral.
AGUGAACGCUGGCGGUAGGCCUAACACAUGCAAGUCGAACGGCAGCACAGUAAGAGCUUGCUCUUACGGGUGGCGAGUGGCGGACGGGUGAGGAAUACAUCGGAAUCUACUUUUUCGUGGGGGAUAACGUAGGGAAACUUACGCUAAUACCGCAUACGACCUACGGGUGAAAGCAGGUGAUCUUCGUCCCUUUCCCGUUUGAUUUAGCCGAUUUCGGAUUAGCUAGUUGGCUGGGUAAAGUCCCACCAAGGCGACGAUCCGUAGCUGGUCUGAGAGGAUGAACAGCCACACUGGAACUGAGACAAGGUAAAGACUACUACGGGAGGCAGCAGUGGGGAAUAUUGGACAAUGGGCGAAAGCAUGAUACAGCCAUACCGCGUGGGUGAAGAAGGCCUUCGGGUUGUAAAGCCAUUUUGUUGGGAAAGAAAAGAAGCAGGUUAAUACCCCGCUGUUAUGACGGUACCGAAAGAAUAAGCACCGGCUAACUUCGUG